RNAcentral lists this ribosomal RNA (252 nucleotides) under uncultured bacterium. RNAcentral describes it as "partial 16S ribosomal RNA". It matches the Rfam family "Bacterial small subunit ribosomal RNA", at positions 524 to 776 of the family's 1533-position model. The record is from RNAcentral.
UACGUAGGGGGCUAGCGUUAUCCGGAAUUACUGGGCGUAAAGGGUGCGUAGGCGGCCCAACAAGUCAGAGGUGAAAGGCUACGGCUCAACCGUAGUAAGCCUUUGAAACUGUAGGGCUUGAGUGCAGGAGAGGAGAGUGGAAUUCCCAGUGUAGCGGUGAAAUGCGUAGAUAUUGGGAGGAACACCAGUUGCGAAGGCGACUCUCUGGACUGUAACUGACGCUGAGGAACGAAAGCGUGGGGAGCGAACAGG